This 70-nucleotide transfer RNA is filed under the name Marmota monax (woodchuck). It matches the Rfam family "tRNA". From Rfam's summary of the family: Transfer RNA (tRNA) molecules are approximately 80 nucleotides in length. The record is from Rfam by way of RNAcentral. RNAcentral also lists the same sequence under 1 other name. Lineage: Eukaryota; Metazoa; Chordata; Mammalia; Rodentia; Sciuridae.
UGGGAUGUAGCUCAGCGGUAGAGCUGUUCCCUUGCAUGUGUAAGGUCCUGGGUUCAAUUCCCAGCACCAA